This 715-nucleotide ribosomal RNA is filed under the name Escherichia coli. RNAcentral's name for it is "bacterial SSU rRNA". It matches the Rfam family "Bacterial small subunit ribosomal RNA", at positions 1 to 705 of the family's 1533-position model. Lineage: Bacteria; Pseudomonadati; Pseudomonadota; Gammaproteobacteria; Enterobacterales; Enterobacteriaceae. The record is from RNAcentral.
AAAUUGAAGAGUUUGAUCAUGGCUCAGAUUGAACGCUGGCGGCAGGCCUAACACAUGCAAGUCGAACGGUAACAGAAAGCAGCUUGCUGCUUUGCUGACGAGUGGCGGACGGGUGAGUAAUGUCUGGGAAACUGCCUGAUGGAGGGGGAUAACUACUGGAAACGGUAGCUAAUACCGCAUAACGUCGCAAGACCAAAGAGGGGGACCUUCGGGCCUCUUGCCAUCGGAUGUGCCCAGAUGGGAUUAGCUAGUAGGUGGGGUAACGGCUCACCUAGGCGACGAUCCCUAGCUGGUCUGAGAGGAUGACCAGCCACACUGGAACUGAGACACGGUCCAGACUCCUACGGGAGGCAGCAGUGGGGAAUAUUGCACAAUGGGCGCAAGCCUGAUGCAGCCAUGCCGCGUGUAUGAAGAAGGCCUUCGGGUUGUAAAGUACUUUCAGCGGGGAGGAAGGGAGUAAAGUUAAUACCUUUGCUCAUUGACGUUACCCGCAGAAGAAGCACCGGCUAACUCCGUGCCAGCAGCCGCGGUAAUACGGAGGGUGCAAGCGUUAAUCGGAAUUACUGGGCGUAAAGCGCACGCAGGCGGUUUGUUAAGUCAGAUGUGAAAUCCCCGGGCUCAACCUGGGAACUGCAUCUGAUACUGGCAAGCUUGAGUCUCGUAGAGGGGGGUAGAAUUCCAGGUGUAGCGGUGAAAUGCGUAGAGAUCUGGAGGA